Long non-coding RNA from Hippopotamus amphibius kiboko, 636 nucleotides. RefSeq lists it as uncharacterized. The record is from RefSeq and is a predicted model, not a curated record. NCBI's taxonomy places the organism in Eukaryota, Metazoa, Chordata, Mammalia, Artiodactyla, Hippopotamidae. The transcript is spliced from 3 exons.
CCAGCAGCACCAGCAGGAGCUUGCUAGAAUGCAGAAUUUGGGUUCAUCCCUGUGCUUCUGAACCAGUAUUUACAUUUGAACAAGAUCCCGAGGUUGACUCUCGUGUGCGUUAAAGUUGGAGAAGACUGUAGAGCUGUUCCAAGGGGAGAGGAGAGCAGGAAACCGGAAACAAAUGAAUUUUCUCUGAAGAGGAAGAGAAGAAUAUAACCACGUUGGAUUUUACUUUCCUAACGAAUUCCUACAGAAAACAUGGUUUCCAGGGUGAUUUAAAUUUCUGAAAAAAUAAGAUCAGCAGACCCAUGGUGUGGACUCCCAGAUGCUCAGGAAAUAUUUCAUAAAGACAUUCCUUCCAGAGCAUUCCCUUGUGGAACCAAGCUGUCAUGCCAGGAGAAGCCCAAGUCACACAGAGCGCUUCCUGUGUGUGCUCUAUUGACAGCUGCAGGAGACCCAGUCAUCUCAGUCUAGGUUCCAGACACACGACGGAAGAAGCCUCCAGAUGAUUCCAGCCUCCAGCCAGCUGAGUCACUCCCAGUGGUUUGCAUCUUACCAGCUGAGUCCCAGACAUCAAAGAGCAGAGAGAAGCCAUCCUGUCUAUGCCCUGUUUGAAUUUUGGAUCUCAGGAAUACGUGCACAUAA